AUGGUCUCUGUGGACAACAGGCAAGCAAGUGGUACAGACAUACAUAUAGAUAAUACACCCACACAUAGAAAAUACAAAUUAAGUAGGAAUGGUCAUAUUGUAUUAAUAUCAAUGCUAAGUACAAACAUUUCUGAAGAGUCUUUCUUAACCCAUUAAACACUAUGCUUGCUUGUUUUAAUCACAAACACUGAUAAAUAUUUCUCCUCAUAAAUAUUGAAUCUCUACCUAACAAUGUUUUAUUUAUUACUGUAGGUCAUACCUCACUCCUGUUAGGGAUGAAGAGUCUGAAUCCCAAAGGAAAGCAAGAUCUAGACAAGCAAGACAGUCUAGACGGUCAACACAGGGGGUGACACUGACUGACCUCCAGGAAGCCGAAAAGACAAUAGGAAGAAGCCGUUCUACGAGAACCAGAGAACAAGAAAACGAAGAAAAAGAC
RNAcentral lists this long non-coding RNA (436 nucleotides) under Rattus norvegicus (Norway rat). RNAcentral's name for it is "long non-coding RNA NONRATT026732". The record is from RNAcentral. Lineage: Eukaryota; Metazoa; Chordata; Mammalia; Rodentia; Muridae.